CAGUCGCCGCGGUAAUACGAAGGGUGCAAGCGUUACUCGGAAUUACUGGGCGUAGAGCGCACGCAGGCGGUUUGUUAAGUCAGAUGUGAAAUCCCCGAGCUUAACUUGGGAACUGCAUUUGAAACUGGCAAGCUAGAGUCUUGUAGAGGGGGGUAGGAUUCCAGGUGUAGCGGUGAAAUGCGUAGAGAUCUGGAGGAAUACCGGUGGCGAAGGCGGCCCCCUGGACAAAGACUGACGCUCAGGUGCGAAAGCGUGGGGAGCAAACAGGAUUAGAUACCCGCGUAGUCCCUGUCUCUUAUAC
RNAcentral lists this ribosomal RNA (301 nucleotides) under uncultured bacterium. Its description in RNAcentral is "partial 16S ribosomal RNA". It matches the Rfam family "Bacterial small subunit ribosomal RNA", at positions 509 to 807 of the family's 1533-position model. The record is from RNAcentral.